Molecule: unclassified non-coding RNA, 1990 nt
Filed under: Owenia fusiformis
Lineage: Eukaryota; Metazoa; Annelida; Polychaeta; Sabellida; Oweniidae
Description: misc RNA OFUS_LOCUS6442
Source: RNAcentral
GGCAUAUAGCUAGAAAACUGGAGAAAAAUUAUAGAGACAAGGACAGUACAUAUAAAGAUAUACAAUUAUAAGAAUUUAAGAUGAACAAAUACAUUGAGAAGUAAAACAAAUACUAUCAAAGUACAGUGUAAAUGUGAUCAUUCCAAAACAACUCAGCAACAUCAUACAUGGACUAAUUUGAUUCUUGUCUUAGUUUAUUUGGUGGAGGAAUACGGAAAGCAAAACACAACACUCAAAACCAUUUGACAGCAAUACAUGAUAAUGCUGCACCGUACAUUGUAUUUAGCAAUAUUAACGCUAGGGGUUGCUGUACCUUCACAUGCACUUAAUCUACAGCCAUGUCCAACAGGUGAGGACUAUAGGCAGUUAAGUGAAUGUCUAUGUCUCCCUGACGACAGGGGUGAUGUCAUAGGAGUCGGUUGUAUGAAUACAACAAUGACGUCAUUACCCAAUCAUAUCCCUAGGUACGCAUCCAUAUUUUAUUUCGAUGAUAAUCGACUUGGCAGUAUUAUCAAGAUCCCAGCAAAUUACCAUCACCUGGAGUAUAUGUACAUGAGGAAUAAUGGAAUUCAGAAAAUCGAAAAACUAGCAUUCAAAAGCCCCGAAGAAGACCACGGAGUCCAUCUCCAUGAACUUGACCUAUCUAACAAUACAAUCCAACGUCUAUUUCAGGAGACACUCACCGGCCUGGAUCGACUAGAAAAUUUAACAUUAUAUGGAAAUCAAAUAUAUGAACUACAGAACGCAUUUGCCGAUCUAAAAUCCUUAAGGUUGAUAGACUUGAGGAAUAAUAAACUCCGAAGACUCGAAGAUAACAUAUUUGCCAAUCUUCCCAACCUUACGGAUGUUGCCUUGGAAAUGAACAACUUCCAAGGAGGUAUUCCUUACAAGGCCUUAAGCGUGUUAAAACAGACGCAAAUGCUGAACCUGCGUUCGUGCAGCAUUGCACAGUUGCAUGACGAUGGAUUCCUAUAUCUUCAGUCCCUACAGCAGCUUCAUCUUCAGCACAACGAUAUUGAAUACAUCACAAAUAAUUCAUUCAACGGUUUAAUGCAACUGACUAUGUUGGAUCUAAGCUACAAUAGCAUACAUACCAUAGAAACGGGGGCGUUUCAGUAUUUCUAUGAUACCAUCAAGGAAGUAAAUCUCCGAGGUAACCAGAUCAUUGGCCUUCAUCCAUCCAUGUUACCAUGGGAACGCAUCAAUGUAAUGAUGGAGGGGAAUCCGUUAGAAUGUGAUUGUGAACUGGCUUGGGCACAACUGGCAGCUUCUAGAUCGGGAGAGCUCUUGAUAUGUACAGGACCUGAACAACUAAUCAACCGCACAGUGACUUCGCUCCAUCCCAAUGAGUUCGUUUGUGAGAAUGACAACCGGACACCAACAACCGCUGGUCUUACAGGAAUUACCCUCAUCCUGGUCAUCGUCCUUCCCAUCGCCCUCAUCAUCAUCAUCGUAAUCCUUUCUGUAGUAUGCUGCAUUGUGAAGAAACGUAAGGCGAAAAGCCGAAAAAGAAGUGUGAAAUAUAGCGCCGUAUAUAAACCUACUACUGAAGAGAAAGCACAGAUGUCAAAAACUCAAGUGAAAAAACAAAUGCCCAAAACGGAAUUGUGACAAUAGCGUGUGUCAUUCACCUCGAAUUAUUUCAGUAUUAUAAUAGUAACUAUGUAUUCUCUGCGCAGUGUUUUGAUAUCUGAGCUUUUGACCUAGGAUGGCCGUACUUUAUCAACAUUUGGAUCUUUACAAGAUAAGUCGAGCUUGACGCCAAAUCAUGCAUAUAAAAGAUCAAAAUUAGAUUAUACCAGAUAAUGCUGUUCUAAUAAUCGACUAACCAUAAUAAACAGCGCCAUCUAUAUGAGUAGAAAAACAUUCUUCCAUCAAGAAAAGUUAGAGCCAACAAACAGGACUUGUACGAGGGUUGUCCCAGAAGUAAUGCACUAUAUGCUCGAACUUUAUCAUUCGUCAUCAUUCUAUUUUAUUAAGUUAAAACUCA